GUGCUCACUUUGGUGGCACAUACAAUAAAAUUGGAAACAUACAGAGAUUAGCAUGACCCCCUGCACAAAGAUGACACACGUAUUCAUGAAACUGUCCAUAAAAAA
Molecule: small nuclear RNA, 105 nt
Organism: Papio anubis (olive baboon)
Lineage: Eukaryota; Metazoa; Chordata; Mammalia; Primates; Cercopithecidae
Source: Ensembl